Molecule: ribosomal RNA, 465 nt
Filed under: uncultured eukaryote
Lineage: Eukaryota
Description: eukaryotic LSU rRNA
Rfam family: Eukaryotic large subunit ribosomal RNA
Source: RNAcentral
CCAUCAAGUAGCUGGUUCCCUCCGAAGUUUCCCUCAGGAUAGCUGGAACUUAUGAGAAAGUAGUUUUUAUCAGGUAAAGCGAAUGAUUAGAGGCUUUUGGGGAAGAAACUUCCUCGACCUAUUCUCAAACUUUAAAUAGGUAAGAUUUGGAGGAUACUUAAGUGAUCUUUCAAUACAGUAUUGAAUAUAAAGUUCUUAGUGGGCCAUUUUUGGUAAGCAGAACUGGCGAUGUGGGAUGAACCGAACGUUAAGUUAAAGUGCCAAAUAAUACGCUCAUGAGAUACCAUAAAAGGUGUUGGUUCAUUUUGACAGCAGGACGGUGGCCAUGGAAGUCGGAACCCGCUAAGGAGUGUGUAACAACUCACCUGCCGAAUGAACUAGCCCUGAAAAUGGAUGGCGCUUAAGCGUAUAACUUAUACUUAACCCUUACUUGAAUUAUCAUAGCGAGUAAGGAGUAGGAGGGCU